UGUGCAAAGGUAGCAUAAUCAAUUGGCUUGUAAUUUAAGUCUGGUAUGAAUGUAGUUUUAGGUUAAAGCUGUCUCUUUAUGUUAAUUGAAAUUUACUUGGCCGGUGAAAAAACCGGCAGUAAAAUAAUAGACGAGAAGACCCUAGAAAUUUUAUGAAAGGUAUAGUAAUAUAUAUAUUGGAUUUUGUUGGGGCGACAGAGUAACAGUUAACUUACUCUAUUUGAUGUGAAUUAAUUAUGAAAAUGUAAAUUACUCUAGGGAUAACAGCAUAAUUCUAUUAGUGUUUGUGACCUCGAUGUUGGACUAGGAAAGAUAAUAUUCAGAAGAUAUUAUUAUAGGCUCUGUUCGCGCC
RNAcentral lists this ribosomal RNA (352 nucleotides) under Cochlicella acuta. RNAcentral describes it as "partial large subunit ribosomal RNA". The record is from RNAcentral. Lineage: Eukaryota; Metazoa; Mollusca; Gastropoda; Stylommatophora; Geomitridae.